CUUGGGUGAUAGACCGCCAGCAAUAGCCGCAAGAUCCGAUUACCAUCACCUCGGACACCAGAUAUAUAGUACGCAAAAGCGGGAGGGUAGUGGGUGCCAUAGUGGACAACAGAAGGGAAGGGUUUUGGGGAGCUGAAAGCUGAAAUUGAGUAGAAUAAGAGAAACAAGAGAGAGAUGAAUGCUGCAGAGAAGAGUGUGAAAAGCCAUCUUUUCUCUGCUCCCAUAAUGCUAACAAUACUAAGGUGGAAUUGGCCUCUCGUUCUCGUUCUCGUUCUCGUUCCCG
This 283-nucleotide unclassified non-coding RNA is filed under the name Hevea brasiliensis (rubber tree). The record is from RNAcentral. Lineage: Eukaryota; Viridiplantae; Streptophyta; Magnoliopsida; Malpighiales; Euphorbiaceae.